Molecule: ribosomal RNA, 250 nt
Filed under: uncultured bacterium
Lineage: Bacteria
Description: partial 16S ribosomal RNA
Rfam family: Bacterial small subunit ribosomal RNA
Source: RNAcentral
UACGUAGGGUGCGAGCGUUAAUCGGAAUUACUGGGCGUAAAGGGUGCGCAGGCGGAAGUUUAAGUUAGGAGUGAAACCCCCGGGCUCAACCUGGGGAGUGCUUUUAAGACUGGACAUCUAGAGUUUGUCAGAGGGGGGUGGAAUUCCAAGUGUAGCAGUGAAAUGCGUAGAGAUUUGGAGGAACAUCGAUGGCGAAGGCAGCCCCCUGGGAUAGAACUGACGCUCAGGCACGAAAGCGUGGGUAGCAAAC